Molecule: long non-coding RNA, 1586 nt
Organism: Astatotilapia calliptera (eastern happy)
Lineage: Eukaryota; Metazoa; Chordata; Actinopteri; Cichliformes; Cichlidae
Source: Ensembl
AGCGCAGCCUGUUGUAUUCCAUUUAGGGACUCGAUUGAUUGUACGUCUGCACCGGUGUGUAAGCGGUAACGCUAAGGGUAAAUAAGGUAGCUGUUCCCGGUUCAGAACACCAGCACCUCCCUGUGUAGGCCCUGCAGCGCGAGCGGAUUUCUGCGCACCGUGCAGAAAAUUCACGAAGUCUCUGUGGGGUUGUGAAAACCAGAAACAUUAGACUACAAGACAGACAUAAGAAAAUAUGCUCGCCCUGUGCAUUCUGCAUGUGCGCAGUGCAAAGGCCACAUUGUCGCACUUGAAGCUCUGACUGGACGUGUCCGGAGGAUUGUGCGCUUUCAGUCCAUCUGCACCUGAAAUUGCGGAUAGUUUCACUUUUAGAUGGUCAGAAAAGAGUGCUGCGUGAAAUGACGAGGCGUGGCUCCUGUCCGAAAUAUCAAGCUGAGAUGUCGAUUUCUCCCAAAAUCUACAUUUGUGGAAUCAGCAGCAGCUGUAAAAAUCCUUAUAACAUAUCUGCUGUGGGUCCCACAGGAUCUUAGCUCGGUGGUGGUGUCUCCGUACUCGGCACAGGUGUUUCUGUAUACUAUGACAACCACUUGGUUAUGGCUUUCCAUGUAUGUCCUGCAUGCUAGCAUCUUGCACCCUGCUGUUAUAAAGGAUGAACACCCUACAAUAAUGCAAAGAAAGUAUAGAAAUCCCAACAAUCAUCAUAAUUUAUUUAUAUAGCACUUAAAAAACACACAAGACCAAAGUGCUGAACAAUGGAAGUAUCAGAGAUGCAAUAAGAAUAAUAAAUACGAUAAAAUAAUAAACACAGUAAAAACACUAAAAUAUGUAAAAGCAGUACCCUGCCUCUCGCCCUAUGACAGCUGGGAUAGGCUCCAGCGCCCCCCGCGACCCUGAAAAGGAUAAGCGGAAGCAAAUGGAUGGAUGUAAAAACAGUAGAAUAUAAUAAUCAUAUGACCCCCUGUGAGCAAGUGCUUUAGCAAUAGUGGGAAGGAAAAAAUUAUUUUAACAGGAAGAAGCCUCCAGCAGAACCAGGCUCAGGAUGAAAUGUGUGGCUCGUUCUCUCCACGGACAGCACCCUGUAGCACAGAGGAUCCUCAGCAGACGGAAUCAUGAAGUCAUCUAAAACACUCUGGUAGACUGUUGUGGUGACCUUGGAUUUAAGAAAGCAGACUUUACCAACACCUGUACCGGACAUUACACCCCAAAUCAAGACUGACUGUGGAUAUUUCACACUGGACCUCAAGCAGCUUGGGUUGUAAUCCUCACCCGUCUUCCUCCAAACCCUUGGACCUUGAUUCCCGAAUGAAAAGCACACUUUACCCGAGGAACCCAACAGUUGUAGCCCAUCUCCUGCAUGCGUCUGAAUGUGGUGGUUUUCGAAGCUGUGACUCCAGCCUCGUUCCCCUCUCUCUGGAUCUCUGCCAGAUUCAUGAAUCUUCUCUGUUUGAAUUAAAACAUUCAUGCCCUGUAAAAUUUGCGUUGAUGUCUUCACAGUGUUCUAAUUUUUUGAAUUCCUGUUUUCGUGGGUUUUAUAAGCUGGAAGCCCAAAUCAUGUACAAAUAAACAACAAGUACUUGAAAUUGUUU